AGAGUUUGAUCCUGGCUCAGAGUGAACGCUGGCGGCGUGCUUAACACAUGCAAGUCGAACGGAUACGACUGGAGCUUGCUCCAGUACGGUCAGUGGCAAACGGGUGAGUAAUACAUAGGAAUCUGCCUCGCAGUAUGGGAUAACUGUUGGAAACGACAGCUAAUACCGUAUAUUGCCUACGGGUGAAAGAUUUAUCGCUG
Molecule: ribosomal RNA, 200 nt
Filed under: uncultured bacterium
Lineage: Bacteria
Description: partial 16S ribosomal RNA
Rfam family: Bacterial small subunit ribosomal RNA
Source: RNAcentral